Molecule: ribosomal RNA, 756 nt
Filed under: Weissella confusa
Lineage: Bacteria; Bacillati; Bacillota; Bacilli; Lactobacillales; Lactobacillaceae
Description: bacterial SSU rRNA
Rfam family: Bacterial small subunit ribosomal RNA
Source: RNAcentral
AGUUUGAAUCAUGGCUCAGAGUGAACGCUGGCGGUAGGCCUAACACAUGCAAGUCGAACGGCAGCACAGGAGAGCUUGCUCUCUGGGUGGCGAGUGGCGGACGGGUGAGGAAUACAUCGGAAUCUACUCUGUCGUGGGGGAUAACGUAGGGAAACUUACGCUAAUACCGCAUACGACCUACGGGUGAAAGCAGGGGACCUUCGGGCCUUGCGCGAUUGAAUGAGCCGAUGUCGGAUUAGCUAGUUGGCGGGGUAAAGGCCCACCAAGGCGACGAUCCGUAGCUGGUCUGAGAGGAUGAUCAGCCACACUGGAACUGAGACACGGUCCAGACUCCUACGGGAGGCAGCAGUGGGGAAUAUUGGACAAUGGGCGCAAGCCUGAUCCAGCCAUACCGCGUGGGUGAAGAAGGCCUUCGGGUUGUAAAGCCCUUUUGUUGGGAAAGAAAUCCAGCUGGCUAAUACCCGGUUGGGAUGACGGUACCCAAAGAAUAAGCACCGGCUAACUUCGUGCCAGCAGCCGCGGUAAUACGAAGGGUGCAAGCGUUACUCGGAAUUACUGGGCGUAAAGCGUGCGUAGGUGGUUAUUUAAGUCCGUUGUGAAAGCCCUGGGCUCAACCUGGGAACUGCAGUGGAUACUGGAUGACUAGAAUGUGGUAGAGGGUAGCGGAAUUCCUGGUGUAGCAGUGAAAUGCGUAGAGAUCAGGAGGAACAUCCAUGGCGAAGGCAGCUACCUGGACCAACAUNACACUGNGNNNNA